This 484-nucleotide ribosomal RNA is filed under the name uncultured bacterium. RNAcentral describes it as "partial 16S ribosomal RNA". It matches the Rfam family "Bacterial small subunit ribosomal RNA", at positions 30 to 507 of the family's 1533-position model. The record is from RNAcentral.
AUUGAACGCUGGCGGCAGGCCUAACACAUGCAAGUCGAACGGAUGAAGGGAGCUUGCUUCUGGAUUCAGCGGCGGACGGGUGAGUAAUGCCUAGGAAUCUGCCUGGUAGUGGGGGAUAACGUCCGGAAACGGGCGCUAAUACCGCAUACGUCCUGAGGGAGAAAGUGGGGGAUCUUCGGACCUCACGCUAUCAGAUGAGCCUAGGUCGGAUUAGCUAGUUGGUGGGGUAAAGGCCUACCAAGGCGACGAUCCGUAACUGGUCUGAGAGGAUGAUCAGUCACACCGGAACGGAGACACGGUCCAGACUCCUACGGGAGGCAGCAGUGGGGAAUAUUAGACAAUGGGCGAAAGCCUGAUCCAGCCAUGCCGCGUGUGUGAAGAAGGUCUUCGGAUUGUAGAGCACUUUUAGUUGGGAGGAAGGGCAGUAAGUUAAUACCUUGCUGUUUUGACGUUACCAACAGAAUAAGCACCGGCUAACUUCGUG